AUUGAACGCUGGCGGCAUGCCUUACACAUGCAAGUCGAACGGUAACAGGUCUUCGGAUGCUGACGAGUGUCGAACUGGUGAGUAAUACAUCGGAACGUGCCUAGUAGUGGGGGAUAACUACUCGAAAGAGUGGCUAAUACCGCAUGAGAUCUACGGAUGAAAGCAGGUGGUCGCAAGACCUUGUGCUACUAAAGCGGCCGAUGGAAGAUUAGGUAGUUGGAUGGAUAAAAGCUUACCAAGCCGACGAUCUGUAGCUAGUGGGAGAGGACGAUCAGCAACACUGGGACUGAGAGCCGGCCCGGACUCCGACGGGAGGCAGCAGUGGGGAAUGUUGGACAAUGGGCGAAAGCCUGAUCCAGCAAUGCCGCGUGCAGUAUGAAGGCCUUCGGGUUGUAAACUGCUUUUGUACGGAAAGAAAAGCCCCGGGUUAAUACCCUGGGGUCAUGACGGUACCGUAAGAAUAAGCACCGGCUAACUACGUGCCAGCAGCCGCCGUAA
This 498-nucleotide ribosomal RNA is filed under the name uncultured bacterium. RNAcentral's name for it is "partial 16S ribosomal RNA". It matches the Rfam family "Bacterial small subunit ribosomal RNA", at positions 30 to 523 of the family's 1533-position model. The record is from RNAcentral.